This 301-nucleotide ribosomal RNA is filed under the name uncultured bacterium. RNAcentral's name for it is "partial 16S ribosomal RNA". It matches the Rfam family "Bacterial small subunit ribosomal RNA", at positions 509 to 809 of the family's 1533-position model. The record is from RNAcentral.
CAGUCGCCGCGGUAAUACAGAGGGUGCGAGCGUUAAUCGGAUUUACUGGGCGUAAAGCGUGCGUAGGCGGCUUCUUAAGUCGGAUGUGAAAUCCCUGAGCUUAACUUAGGAAUUGCAUUCGAGACUGGGAAGCUAGAGUAUGGGAGAGGAUGGUAGAAUUCCAGGUGUAGCGGUGAAAUGCGUAGAGAUCUGGAGGAAUACCGAUGGCGAAGGCAGCCAUCUGGCCUAAUACUGACGCUGAGGUACGAAAGCAUGGGGAGCAAACAGGAUUAGAUACCCCAGUAGUCCCUGUCUCUUAUAA